UGGGGUGUGGCUCAGAGGUGGAGCGCUUGCCUAGCGCGUGAGAGGCCCUGGGUCCCAUCCUCAGCACCACAU
Molecule: non-coding RNA, 72 nt
Organism: Ictidomys tridecemlineatus (thirteen-lined ground squirrel)
Lineage: Eukaryota; Metazoa; Chordata; Mammalia; Rodentia; Sciuridae
Source: Rfam